Dalotia coriaria is the source of this 149-nucleotide long non-coding RNA. RefSeq lists it as uncharacterized. Lineage: Eukaryota; Metazoa; Arthropoda; Insecta; Coleoptera; Staphylinidae. The record is from RefSeq and is a predicted model, not a curated record. The transcript is spliced from 3 exons.
GGAUGUUGCACUUGAGUCUGACAUCGUAGAAGGACCAUCCUUGCAACAUAUUGUCUAAUUUUUGAUGGUUUCGGGGAUGUUGCACUUGAGUCUGACAUCGUAGAAGGACCAUCCUUGCAACAGAUUGUCUAAUUUUUGAUGGUUUCGGG